GACUCCGAACAGCACCACUAAGCC
This 24-nucleotide non-coding RNA is filed under the name Arabidopsis thaliana (thale cress). Lineage: Eukaryota; Viridiplantae; Streptophyta; Magnoliopsida; Brassicales; Brassicaceae. The record is from RNAcentral.